UACGGAGGGUGCAAGCGUUAUCCGGAUUCACUGGGUUUAAAGGGUGCGUAGGAGGGCAGGUAAGUCAGUGGUGAAAUCCUGGGGCUUAACCCCAGACUGCCGUUGAUACUAUCGGUCUUGAAUGUCGUGGAGGUGAGCGGAAUAUGUCAUGUAGCGGUGAAAUGCUUAGAUAUGACUAGAACACCAAUUUGCGAAAGGCAGCUCACUACACGGUCAUUGCACUGAGG
RNAcentral lists this ribosomal RNA (227 nucleotides) under uncultured bacterium. RNAcentral describes it as "partial 16S ribosomal RNA". It matches the Rfam family "Bacterial small subunit ribosomal RNA", at positions 524 to 751 of the family's 1533-position model. The record is from RNAcentral.